Molecule: transfer RNA, 69 nt
Filed under: Ictidomys tridecemlineatus (thirteen-lined ground squirrel)
Lineage: Eukaryota; Metazoa; Chordata; Mammalia; Rodentia; Sciuridae
Description: Spermophilus tridecemlineatus (thirteen-lined ground squirrel) tRNA
Rfam family: tRNA
About the family: Transfer RNA (tRNA) molecules are approximately 80 nucleotides in length. Their secondary structure includes four short double-helical elements and three loops (D, anti-codon, and T loops).
Source: Rfam by way of RNAcentral
GGAGUUGUAGCUCAGUGGUAGAGUGCUUGUCUAGAAUGCAUGAAGCACUGGGUUUGAUCCUCAGCACCA